AGCAGCCGCGGUAAUUCCAGCUCCAAUAGCGUAUAUUAAAGUUGUUGCAGUUAAAAAGCUCGUAGUUGAAUUUCGGGAUCAAUUUAUUGGUCGUGCUAUUGUACGUACUGGUAUUAUUGAUUUCUACCUUCUGACGAACCAUGAUGUCAUUAAUUUGGUGUCUUGGGGAAUCAGGACUGUUACUUUGAAAAAAUUAGAGUGUUUAAAGCAGGCUCACGCUUGAAUACAUUAGCAUGGAAUAACGAAAUAGGACGUUUGAUUCUAUUUUGUUGGUUUCUAGGAUCGACGUAAUGAUUAAUAGGGAUAGUUGGGGGCAUUAGUAUUCAAUUGUCAGAGGUGAAAUUCUUGGAUUUAUUGAAGACUAACUACUGCGAAAGCAUUUGCCAAGGAUGCUUUCAUUAAUCAAGAACGAAAGUUAGGGGAUCGGAGACGAUCAGAUACCGUCGUAGUCUUAACCAUAAACUAUGC
Molecule: ribosomal RNA, 468 nt
Filed under: uncultured Glomus
Lineage: Eukaryota; Fungi; Glomeromycota; Glomeromycetes; Glomerales; Glomeraceae
Description: SSU rRNA
Rfam family: Eukaryotic small subunit ribosomal RNA
Source: RNAcentral